RNAcentral lists this ribosomal RNA (700 nucleotides) under uncultured bacterium. RNAcentral describes it as "bacterial SSU rRNA". It matches the Rfam family "Bacterial small subunit ribosomal RNA", at positions 80 to 776 of the family's 1533-position model. The record is from RNAcentral.
UUGCUUCUCUUGAGAGCGGCGGACGGGUGAGUAAUGCCUAGGAAUCUGCCUGGUAGUGGGGGAUAACGUUCGGAAACGGACGCUAAUACCGCAUACGUCCUACGGGAGAAAGCAGGGGACCUUCGGGCCUUGCGCUAUCAGAUGAGCCUAGGUCGGAUUAGCUAGUUGGUGGGGUAAUGGCUCACCAAGGCGACGAUCCGUAACUGGUCUGAGAGGGUGAUCAGUCACACUGGAACUGAGACACGGUCCAGACUCCUACGGGAGGCAGCAGUGGGGAAUAUUGGACAAUGGGCGAAAGCCUGAUCCAGCCAUGCCGCGUGUGUGAAGAAGGUCUUCGGAUUGUAAAGCACUUUAAGUUGGGAGGAAGGGUUGUAGAUUAAUACUCUGCAAUUUUGACGUUACCGACAGAAUAAGCACCGGCUAACUCUGUGCCAGCAGCCGCGGUAAUACAGAGGGUGCAAGCGUUAAUCGGAAUUACUGGGCGUAAAGCGCGCGUAGGUGGUUUGUUAAGUUGGAUGUGAAAUCCCCGGGCUCAACCUGGGAACUGCAUUCAAAACUGACUGACUAGAGUAUGGUAGAGGGUGGUGGAAUUUCCUGUGUAGCGGUGAAAUGCGUAGAUAUAGGAAGGAACACCAGUGGCGAAGGCGACCACCUGGACUAAUACUGACACUGAGGUGCGAAAGCGUGGGGAGCAAACAGG